RNAcentral lists this transfer RNA (82 nucleotides) under Leptolyngbyaceae cyanobacterium SL_7_1. RNAcentral's name for it is "tRNA-Leu". It matches the Rfam family "tRNA". From Rfam's summary of the family: Transfer RNA (tRNA) molecules are approximately 80 nucleotides in length. The record is from RNAcentral. RNAcentral also lists the same sequence under 7 other names. Lineage: Bacteria; Bacillati; Cyanobacteriota; Cyanophyceae; Leptolyngbyales; Leptolyngbyaceae.
GCGGAUGUGGCGGAAUUGGUAGACGCGCUAGAUUUAGGUUCUAGUUUCGCAAGAAGUGGGGGUUCAAGUCCCUUCAUCCGCA